RNAcentral lists this ribosomal RNA (456 nucleotides) under bacterium 2611-S6-05-1.1. RNAcentral describes it as "bacterial SSU rRNA". It matches the Rfam family "Bacterial small subunit ribosomal RNA", at positions 70 to 515 of the family's 1533-position model. The record is from RNAcentral.
UAACAGAGAGUAGCUUGCUACUUUGCUGACGAGCGGCGGACGGGUGAGUAAUGCUUGGGGAUCUGCCCGGUCGAGGGGGAUAACCGUUGGAAACGACGGCUAAUACCGCAUACGCCCUACGGGGGAAAGCAGGGGACCUUCGGGCCUUGCGCGAUUGGAUGAACCCAAGUGAGAUUAGCUUGUUGGUGAGGUAACGGCUCACCAAGGCGACGAUCUCUAGCUGGUCUGAGAGGAUGACCAGUCACACUGGGACUGAGACACGGCCCAGACUCCUACGGGAGGCAGCAGUGGGGAAUAUUGCACAAUGGGGGAAACCCUGAUGCAGCCAUGCCGCGUGUGUGAAGAAGGCCUUCGGGUUGUAAAGCACUUUCAGUGGUGAGGAAAGGAGGUUGGCUAAUACCUGACCUCUGUGACGUUAACCACAGAAGAAGCACCGGCUAACUCCGUGCCAGCCGC